CCUACGGGAGGCAGCAGUCGAGAAUCAUUCACAAUGGGGGAAACCCUGAUGGUGCGACGCCGCGUGGGGGAAUGAAGGUCUUCGGAUUGUAAACCCCUGUCAUGUGGGAGCAAAUUCAAAAGAUAGUACCCCAAGAGGAAGAGACGGCUAACUCUGGGCCAGCAGCCGCGGUAAUACAGAGGUCUCAAGCGUUGUUCGGAAUCACUGGGCGUAAAGCGUGCGUAGGCGGUUUCGUAAGUCGUGUGUGAAAGGCGCGGGCUCAACCCGCGGACGGCACAUGAUACUGCGUGACUAGAGUGAUGGAGGGGGAACCGGAAUUCGCGGUGUAGCAGUGAAAUGCGUAGAUAUCGAGAGGAACACUCGUGGCGAAGGCGGGUUCCUGGACAUUAACUGACGCUGAGGCACGAAGGCCAGGGGAGCGAAAGGGAUUAGAUACCCUUGUAGUC
This 446-nucleotide ribosomal RNA is filed under the name uncultured bacterium. Its description in RNAcentral is "partial 16S ribosomal RNA". It matches the Rfam family "Bacterial small subunit ribosomal RNA", at positions 338 to 795 of the family's 1533-position model. The record is from RNAcentral.